AACGAACGCUGGCGGCAUGCUUAACACAUGCAAGUCGAACGAGACCGUCCGGUCUAGUGGCGCACGGGUGCGUAACGCGGGGGAACCUGCCCUUAGGUUCGGUAUCACUCCCCGAAAGGGGUGCUAAUACCGGAUAAUGUCUUCGGACCAAAGAUUUAUCGCCUUUGGAUGGGCCCGGGUUGGAUUAGCUAGUUGGUAGGGUAAAAGCCUACCAAGGCGACGAUCCAUAGCUGGUCUGAGAGGAUGAUCAGCCACACUGGGACUGAGACACGGCCCAGACUCGUACGGGAAGCAGCAGUGGGGAAUAUUGGACAAUGGGCGAAAGCCUGAUCCAGCAAUGCCGCGUGAGUGAUGAAGGCCUUAGGGUUGUAAAGCUCUUUUACCCGGGAUGAUAAUGACAGUACCGGGAGAAUAAGCUCCGGCUAACUCCGUG
This 433-nucleotide ribosomal RNA is filed under the name uncultured bacterium. Its description in RNAcentral is "partial 16S ribosomal RNA". It matches the Rfam family "Bacterial small subunit ribosomal RNA", at positions 29 to 507 of the family's 1533-position model. The record is from RNAcentral.